RNAcentral lists this transfer RNA (84 nucleotides) under Neolecta irregularis DAH-3. It matches the Rfam family "tRNA". From Rfam's summary of the family: Transfer RNA (tRNA) molecules are approximately 80 nucleotides in length. Their secondary structure includes four short double-helical elements and three loops (D, anti-codon, and T loops). The record is from Rfam by way of RNAcentral. Lineage: Eukaryota; Fungi; Ascomycota; Neolectomycetes; Neolectales; Neolectaceae.
GGCCGUGUGGCUCAAUGGUAGAGUAUUCGUUUACGAUUCACCGUAGACUGCGAAAGGUUGCAGGUUCGAGUCCUGUCUCGGUCG